This 352-nucleotide ribosomal RNA is filed under the name uncultured bacterium. RNAcentral's name for it is "bacterial SSU rRNA". It matches the Rfam family "Bacterial small subunit ribosomal RNA", at positions 917 to 1269 of the family's 1533-position model. The record is from RNAcentral.
GGGCCCGCACAAGCGGUGGAGCAUGUGGUUUAAUUCGAUGCAACGCGAAAAACCUUACCAGGCCUUGACAUCCUGAGAAUUCGGUAGAGAUACCUUAGUGCCUUCGGGAACUCAGUGACAGGUGUUGCAUGGCUGUCGUCAGCUCGUGUCGUGAGAUGUUGGGUUAAGUCCCGUAACGAGCGCAACCCUUAUCCUUAUUUGCCAGCACUUCGGGUGGGAACUUUAAGGAGACUGCCGGUGACAAACCGGAGGAAGGAGAGGAUGAUGUCAAGUCAUCAUGGCCCUUACGGCCUGGGCUACACACGUGCUACAAUGGGCAGUACAGAGGGCCGCGAUACCGCGAGGUGGAGCA